GAUGAAGAACGCAGCAAAAUGCGAUAAGUAAUGUGAAUUGCAGAAUUCAGUGAAUCAUCGAAUCUUUGAACGCACAUUGCGCCCGCUGGUAUUCCGGCGGGCAUGACUGUUCGAGCGUCAUUUCAACCCUCAAGCCCCCGGGUUUGGUGUUGGGGAUCGGCUCUGCCCUUCUGGGCGGUGCCGCCCCCGAAAUACAUUGGCGGUCUCGCUGCAGCCUCCAUUGCGUAGUAGCUAACACCUCGCAACUGGAACGCGGCGCGGCCAUGCCGUAAAACCCCAACUUCUGAAUGUUGACCUCGGAUCAGGUAGGAAUACCCGCUGAACUUAAGCAUAUCAAUAAGCGGAGGA
This 348-nucleotide unclassified non-coding RNA is filed under the name soil metagenome. Its description in RNAcentral is "partial contains 5.8S ribosomal RNA, internal transcribed spacer 2, and large subunit ribosomal RNA". The stretch from base 1 to 120 matches the Rfam family "5.8S ribosomal RNA", at positions 35 to 154 of the family's 154-position model. The record is from RNAcentral.